UGUCCCGCAUAUUAAUAACGGCUCCCUGAUGCCCGCAGUUUAUAUACAGUAUAGUUACCCAACAAUAUAAUUGCGACAGAAUAUAUUGAAGUAUAUUUUUCCUCCCAUCUCGUAUCUAUUACCUUUAGGGGUUACAUUUUUUGAAAUGGAAAUGUCCUUAUGAGCAUUUGAUUUAUGCUAAUCGAUGGACUGUUAUGUUAAUAAGUGCCGUCAUUCGGUUAUUUUUAUUAUGUUACAUUUU
Sinocyclocheilus rhinocerous is the source of this 241-nucleotide long non-coding RNA. RefSeq lists it as uncharacterized. The record is from RefSeq and is a predicted model, not a curated record. The transcript is spliced from 3 exons. Lineage: Eukaryota; Metazoa; Chordata; Actinopteri; Cypriniformes; Cyprinidae.